Molecule: unclassified non-coding RNA, 1813 nt
Filed under: Hevea brasiliensis (rubber tree)
Lineage: Eukaryota; Viridiplantae; Streptophyta; Magnoliopsida; Malpighiales; Euphorbiaceae
Source: RNAcentral
AAACAAAAUCCGAACCGACACCUUACUUCUAGCGUGUAAUUUAUCCUUAGAGAAUGGGGAUCAGAAGGAGUGAGUGGGCUUCUAUAACACAGUAGUGGUUCCCGCGAGGGAAACUCGGAUCAAACAACGCGCCUCUUUCCGCUUUUUGGUUUUUGGAAGAGAAUAGAAAGCAAGGGAAUUCAUUUAAACCUCUUUCCUUUUCUGGCUGUUUUUCCCGUGGAAGAAAAGAAAUUAAAGUGAUGGAGGCCGCCAUGGGAUUGAUGAGAAGAAUACACCCUAAGCAAUCGGAGACCGCUCUCUCCGCUCUUCUUAGCCUCCUACCUCAUCACUCCUCCGAUCUCCUCUCCCAAGUCGAUCAGCCUCUCCAGGUUGUAUGUGAUGUGGAUUGUGGAAAGGAGUUCAUAUUGUGUGAAUACAAUAGAGAUGCUGACUCUUACAGGUCACCUUGGUCAAAUAAAUAUCAUCCACCGCUGGAAGAUGCACCUUAUCCAUCUUCAGAGUUGAGGAAACUUGAAAUUGAAGCAAAUGAAGUCUUUGCCAUCUAUUGUGACCAGUAUUAUGAAGGUGGCAUCUCAUCUGUUUACUUGUGGGAAGAUGAUGAUAGUGAAGGUUUUGUAGCAUGCUUUUUGAUAAAGAAAGGUGAGCAUUUCUGCCUAAAUUAGCACUGAGAGUACACAGUUUUAUAUCUCUGACUGGGUUGCUGUUACUUUGAGGAUUAAGAUGGCUCAAAGACAGGACAGGGCAGAAGGGGUUACCUGCAGGAGGGAGCGUGGGAUGCUAUUCAUGUUAUUGAAGUAAAGACUGUAGACUAAUUGGGAUAAAAUUUUCACCUUCCCCUUCUUUUUUAUCCUUCCCAUUUUUCCUUAUAAUUACGGAACAAUAUCACUUCUUAUUCCUCUAUUUCUGAAAUUUUAAUUUGUUCUUUAGGUGGGGCCAGAAGACGAAGGAACAGCCCAUUAUUGUUUGACCAGUACUGUUAUGCUGUCUUUGACUACAAAUGAUGAGUCAUCUGGUACAUUCAGUCUCUCAGGGUCUAUUAGACGACAGGUAUGUUGCAUGUCGUGUUUCUGUCUCCUCCCCUGCCCCCCUCCUCUGUCAGUAUAGAACAGACAAUUUCACUGAGAAGUUAUGUUAAAUUAAAUUUUUAAGAACAGACAUUCAGUCUCUGGUGGGAAAUAACCCUUUUGCUGAUCAUGAGAAGUUAAGUUAAAUUUUUAAGAAUUGCCCUUUUUCCUUCUGAUAAAAAAAAUGUGCCUCUAGAGUGCGAAAACUUUAUAAAUACUGGAUGGUUGAAUCAUGCUAUGUUUACCCAUUUAAUUUUAACGAGCAAGAGGUGUUGGAUAGAAAUUACCUUUUCAUUUCUUGUGAGAUAGACGUUGGCAUGUUCUCAGUGGACCUUAUUCUUUCUCAGUUGUCAGUGCCUGAGAUCAUAAUAUUUUCUUUUUCUUCAUGAAAACUAAAUUUUCCCUCCUAUUUUAAUUGGCACUUGUUACUAUAGAUUGUCUAAUACUGAUAUGUGUGGAACUCAGUGGUGAACUUAAUAAAUUAUUCAAAAUGCUAUAGAAAGCUAUGGUUCAGCAGCAUUCCUUUUUUGCAAGAAAUUAUUGUGUUCAUAAUGUCUGCUGUUGAUUUUGUAAAGUAGCAAUUUGGCAUCCAUUUAUCAUUUUAAGUGAUGACAAGAAGGCUGGAAUACAGCUAUCACCUAUGAAGGUGCAUGUGUAUAUUUAUUCACCAUUGGUUGAAGUCCGAAGUUGACUUGCCAUUUUAUCUUUUGCAGAUGAACAUGGAUCUCGCAAUUGCAGAUGGUCAUCUG